UUAAAUUCAGGGGGUCUUCCCACUUCAUCUGAGGUCUAAUUCAUAGAUGCACAAACUUGUUCACCCAGACACUAACCUCAAACAGCAAACAAGUCACUGCUUGAAGCCAGCGUCUCGGCUCACUCCUUUGUUCAUUUGUUUCUUUUGGCUUCACAACAUAGGGUCCGUGGAUUGGAUUCACAAUUAAGUGAAAGCAACUU
This 200-nucleotide unclassified non-coding RNA is filed under the name soil metagenome. RNAcentral describes it as "partial internal transcribed spacer 2". The record is from RNAcentral.